GGAAAAGCUGGCAGUUACAGGCCUCACCCAGCUCCCAUUCAACCCAGAAAGCUGGUCUCACUCCCAUUGUGAAAAUCCUGCCACCACAGCACCAAGUUGGUUUCCAGGCAUCGGGAAGCAGGGCUGAGAAAUUGCUCCAAGCUACCAGCCUCCAGCUAAGAAAGCAAGCAGGGCUUUUGUGCCUCCCUACCUGUUGAGUCUGCACACCGGAUUCACACCCCUUCAUCUGGCAGUCCUCCCCAAGGACCCCUGUGUGACAAAUCAGAAAUGGCUUCCCUGGGGACCCAGAAAACCCACAGGGCUUCUCUCGCUGCUUCCUCUACUCCUGUAUUUUGCUCAGCUCUCUAAACUGACUC
Molecule: long non-coding RNA, 356 nt
Filed under: Homo sapiens (human)
Lineage: Eukaryota; Metazoa; Chordata; Mammalia; Primates; Hominidae
Description: HSALNT0282932
Source: RNAcentral